AGUGGCGGACGGGUGAGUAAUACAUGGGUACCUGCCCCGAAGUGAGGAAUACCACCGAGAAAUCGGUGACAAUACCGCAUACGUUUCGUAAGAAACAAAGCCGCAAGGCGCUUUGGGAUGGGCCUCUGGCCGAUUAGCUGGCUGGUGGGGUAAUGGCCUACCAGGGCGACGAUCGGUAGCUGGUCUGAGAGGACGAUCAGCCACACUGGGAUUGAGAACGGCCCAG
This 226-nucleotide ribosomal RNA is filed under the name uncultured bacterium. RNAcentral describes it as "partial 16S ribosomal RNA". It matches the Rfam family "Bacterial small subunit ribosomal RNA", at positions 94 to 334 of the family's 1533-position model. The record is from RNAcentral.